RNAcentral lists this ribosomal RNA (468 nucleotides) under uncultured bacterium. RNAcentral's name for it is "partial 16S ribosomal RNA". It matches the Rfam family "Bacterial small subunit ribosomal RNA", at positions 28 to 507 of the family's 1533-position model. The record is from RNAcentral.
GACGAACGCUGGCGGCGUGCUUAACACAUGCAAGUCGAACGGAAAGGCCCUGCUUUUGUGGGGUGCUCGAGUGGCGAACGGGGGAGUAACACGUGAGUAACCUGCCCUUGACUUUGGGAUAACUUCAGGAAACUGGGGCUAAUACCGUAUAGGAGCUCCUGCUGCAUGGUGGGGGUUGGAAAGUUUCGGCGGGUGGGGAUGGACGCGCGGCUUAUCAGCUUGUUGGUGGGGUAGUGGCUUACCAAGGCUUUGACGGGUAGCCGGCAGGAGAGGGUGACCGGCCACAUUGGGACUGAGAUACGGCCCAGACUCCUACGGGAGGCAGCAGUGGGGAAUAUUGCACAAUGGGCGGAAGCCUGAUGCAGCAACGCCGCGUGCGGGAUGACGGCCUUCGGGUUGUAAACCGCUUUCGCCUGUGACGAAGCGUGAGUGACGGUAAUGGGUAAAGAAGCACCGGCUAACUACGUG